RNAcentral lists this long non-coding RNA (336 nucleotides) under Elaeis guineensis (African oil palm). Its description in RNAcentral is "long non-coding RNA (EGUI_LNC001249)". Lineage: Eukaryota; Viridiplantae; Streptophyta; Magnoliopsida; Arecales; Arecaceae. The record is from RNAcentral.
CAGCGGAAGCAUGAUAAUCUGGAUUACUUUGAGUAAGUCAGGAAUGCUGAUUCUUUGAGUCAAAGAAUUAUGAUAAAUGAUAUAGUUUGAUACAAGAAAUUCAUGGAUAUUAGAAAGAAUAAUAUUUUAAAAUUUUGAAUUAUUUUAGAUAUCCUAAUGUGAUUUUUAAAAGUAGAGCUUCCACCUACUAUGCUACAAAAAUAAUUAGCAUCCUAAUUCUAGGAUGAGUGGACCUUUGAUUUUUGAUUUUAGAUUUAGAAUAUUUAGAGAUAAGUUUUCUCUAUCCUAGAAUUAAAUUUUAUAAUUCCUUAUUUAUUAGGAAGAAUUUGAGAUUGU